GCGAGAGUGGCGAAACUGGCAGACGCGCAGGAUUUAGGUUCCUGUGGGGCAACCCGUGGGGGUUCGAGUCCCCCCUCUCGCACCA
RNAcentral lists this transfer RNA (85 nucleotides) under bacterium. RNAcentral describes it as "tRNA-Leu". It matches the Rfam family "tRNA". From Rfam's summary of the family: Transfer RNA (tRNA) molecules are approximately 80 nucleotides in length. Their secondary structure includes four short double-helical elements and three loops (D, anti-codon, and T loops). RNAcentral also lists the same sequence under 1 other name. The record is from RNAcentral.